Long non-coding RNA from Triticum dicoccoides, 3841 nucleotides. RefSeq lists it as uncharacterized. NCBI's taxonomy places the organism in Eukaryota, Viridiplantae, Streptophyta, Magnoliopsida, Poales, Poaceae. The record is from RefSeq and is a predicted model, not a curated record. The transcript is spliced from 10 exons.
AACGACGACCCCUCGCACGAAAGAAACCUCACGAUCGAGGCUGCCCUCAUCUAUUCGCUACAACGACGGGAGCCAUGCCGCCACCGCCACCGCCACCGCGAUCCCUGAAAUGCCGCUGAUCUAUUCGCUACAUCGAUGGAAACCGGGCACUAGCCACGGAUCCCUUUGCCGACGCCGAGCAGUCAUCGAGGAGCCGGCACCGAGGUCCUCAAGGAGGCGCCGCCGCCAUCGUUGCAGGCCUCCGGGUUGCCAUCGGGACACCGCUGCCGAGAUCCGCCUUCGCCUUCGUCCGGCAGAGGCGGCGGAAGGCAGCCGGGAGGGGAAGCGCACAACGACCCGGAAGACAUCCGCCCUCACGCGCUCAUCGUCUUGCUCGAUCUACCCGAGGGAUGCCAAUGGGCGCCUCGGCGGCGUCCACGGCGAGAUCUGAGUCUGGGACGUGACAAUCCCUCCACCCCGGUCGCCGGUGAGAUUUCACUGCCUCGAUCCUCCCGGUCCCAGUUUAUCAGGUCAUCCCUGACAAGAGGGAGCGAGAGAUGCUACUGCCGGGCACGUGCACGCACGUGGGGCGGCCGCCUACGAGCAGGGCCGCGUCCUCUCUCCUUCGUCGACCAUGGCCUCCAAACCACUCCGUUGUACCUCUGCACCCAAGUGUCCGCUCCUCGAUCUUCAACAGAUUUUUUAUCGCCUCUCUUCCGUUGCAGGUAGGGUACACUUGAUGUUUCAUGUUUGGUGAAAGAAAAGGAGCUUCCUAUGUUGAUUUCGGGCAAGACAUACAUUCUGCCAUGCAUUAGUAGAUCAAUUGCUUCUUUGUGUAGGGGAACGAUUAGUGAUUGAAUCUCUCUGUCUCGUUUCUUGAUUAUCCAAUUAAUUUACCCUCAUCUAUGCAUAAGUUGGUCCGAUUGAGUUAUGCCAUUUUUUUUAAUAAUCUAUAUUAGUUCUAUAUAUGACUAGAACAAUAUGAUACGAUGCACAUCGGUCCGCUUUACUGGCAGCUAUCCUUCAAGAUUGAGGGGAGGCACUCUUGUGGACCUGCCCAAUGUUCGAGGAGAUACGGCUGACUAAACAAGGUUAUUUUAAAGUUCGGUGUGGUUCAUGUUAGCUAUCUAUCAGUAAUAGUACAACCUUGAUUUUUAUGUCGUUCAGGUUUACCUAACCAUCAGUAACAUUACUUUCUAUUGGAGACUUCUUACAGGAGGUGCUUAUAAAAUGAUAGUUGAACAUGUACAGAUUUUGGAUCACGAUCAUCUAUUUACCAGGCAUCAGUUAACUCAAGGCAUCAAUCAAAAUCUAGUGUUCUUUGUUUUGUGCAUCAUGGAGAAGACAAAGAACAGAGAUUGUGUGAUAUAUCCGAUAGCGCAAUAUAAUUUUCUCUUGCAUAUUUAUAAUCUGCCAUUUGAAUGAUGUUUUCUGUGUUGUAGUCAAAUCAAGACAAUUUGCAACUUUGGUGUUGUGACGUUGGAGGCCGUGCUCAACAGCAAUGGGGGACUGUUCGUUGAUGCCUGACCCAUGAUGCCGGUGAAGGAAUGAGAGUCGACGAGGAGUGGACGCCAUGGGUUCGUGAACUGGCGAAGCCUCCGUUGUCCGUUUGGUAAUGUCCGACGCAUCAUAGGCAUAGUAUGACUUGUCUCGUUUAUGAUGUCGUCUACAAACAUCCAACGGAGGGGAACCCGUCCCAGUUUCCAUCUUGAUGAAAUAUGUGAGUUGUUUGCUUGCUCAACCUUACGCUGGGAUCAUGUCUAUAGACUACAAAUAGAGGGAAGUUAGCCUGUGCCUUACUAGAGAGAGAUGAACCAAUAAAAUGAUUGGAAAGGUUCUUCCCAAGCAAAAGAUUACCUAUGAUGAAAAUUACAUUCUCUGCGGGCGCUGAUUCUGAUAUAUUACUAUGGCAAAGGAAGUUCAAAAUUUAUCUCAAUCAAGCAUGUGCAAAGGAAAAUCCAAAAUAUGUCAUGACGCCGCCGUCGCCUCGGAUCCCCACAUGCCGCCAGCAUGGCCGUGACAACUGAUGAGCACGCUCCACCCCCAUUCCUGCCACAGAUGAAGAAAAGUAGGCUCAAUCAGGCCAUGACCAGAGUUGAAGAAGGCUCAGGCAGAUGGUGAUACUCUCAAACCAGGAGACCCCAACCCGGUAACCAAGACAUGGAAAAGUGGAGUGCGGCCGUAAAGAAUGCUCAUCAAAUUGCUGGCUCCAUGUUGCCUAUCCACUGUCAUCAUACUUGUCUGCAUCAAAACGUCUCCGUUGAUGUUGAAUAUGAAACAGUUGCCAUUGUCCCACCAGCAGCACCGAAGACGAGCCCAGCAGCAACAUGAUGGAGACCAACAGUACUUCUUGAUCCGGUAUCUGAAUCAUUGGUCGUCAGUGUUUCCGCAGAAAGCGUGUAGAGGGAGAUGGUUCUGCCGAUAACCGACACACUGAGGUAGGUGUAGGUCUGGACGCUGGUGCUGUUGGAGGCGCGCCGGUCGAGCUCAACCAUCACUCAGCCGGGCUGUAAGAUCAUGAUCAUCUUUUAGCGAAUACAAAGGCUAGGCGGGGCGGUCGAUUUGCAGCGGGGUGGCGUGAGGGAUAUCUCGUUUGGAAGAGCAGGUGGAGUACAAGGUUACAAGGUCGUGUCGAGGUCCAAUGACCGGAAUAUCGGCUCCACAGAGGACGCCAUCACAGCCCGUCUUUCCGGCUUGAGGCUUAUCAAACACUUUUGGGUUCAAGAUUCAGGACAAACAAGGCAAGAUGCACAAAUUUAACUGUGCUCCAUUGAUAAAUCGAACCUACCUCAAAUUCUGGUACUGUUCAAGCUCCAUUCUCUAUAUAUGUGCCUAUAUACCUAUAUCACUGUCAGUUCUCUAAGGUUUCUUCUUUUCCUAAUACCAUUUGACAGUACGAAGAUGAUGAUCACAAUAAAGUCAUGCUCUCAUCGGAUUCCGACCAUAUAGCGACUGUGUACCAUGCAAAGCAAAUCGCUUGGAAGGUAAUAAGAGGCAAAUUCAACCUUCACUCUACAAAAUCUGCAACACAUCAUAUUAAUUGGAAACUCAACUCUUGAUUGCAAAAGUUAAGUCUGUGCUAUAAAUGCAGGCAAUACAAAAGGUAGGAAGAACUUAGGAAGGUUCCUUUUUUGUCGUCAUAAUGGAACAAUUUAACUAAGUUGCUCUCUGCUGGUUGUUUGAAGACAAAUUAUAAUGUGUAACCUACCAAAUACUAAAUUAAACUUUAUCAUCAGUUCCAUGUUAUUCCAUGUAGUAGUGUAUGCGGGAAUUAUAUUGAUGAUUUCAUUUUACCUUCAUAUCUGCUUAAUUUUCUUACCAAACACAAAAGCUCUAUGUCUUGAUGUGUUCAUAGAAGUGAAGAUAUAACUCAUGAUGCAAGCCUAAUAUGCUGAUAAUAUUUUUACGGUUCAAUGUUCCUAUGAGGGGAGUGGGUGGGGACGGCAAUGAGUGUCUUAACAUAUCAAGCAGUUGCCGCCUAUGAGGGGAGUGAGUGGAGAUGGCCAGAUCUGUGCGGCGGAGGGGCGAUGGAAGCUCGAAUGGAAGAUUUCUCGCCAGCAUCGGAGCAAUUUAUUGGCCAGAUCGACCAUAAAGCUCCUACAUAGACAUGAAGGAUUGUCAUUAUUAAGAAGUUCAAUCUUUGGAAAUUCAGCAUGUGACACUGUAAAAAUAGAAAGAAGCUAGAAAAUUGUCUCUGGCCGAUUUCGUAUGUAGUUGUGAGCAUUGCUAAUUUCUGUCAACAUGAACGAGAUUUGGACUAUUUAUAUAGCUACCAUGUGCUCAACAAAUUGUCUGAUAAUGUAACACUCCUGAAUAGAUUGAUGUAUGAUAAGCACAUGUGUUAAUUUUGAAGCAGGUGAUA